AGAUUAAACUGAAGAGUUUGAUCAUGGCUCAGAUUGAACGCUGGCGGCAGGCUUAACACAUGCAAGUCGAGCGGUAACAGAUCUAGCUUGCUAGAUGCUGACGAGCGGCGGACGGGUGAGUAACGCGUAGGAACCUGCCCAG
This 142-nucleotide ribosomal RNA is filed under the name Oleiphilus sp. HI0071. RNAcentral's name for it is "partial 16S ribosomal RNA". It matches the Rfam family "Bacterial small subunit ribosomal RNA", at positions 1 to 133 of the family's 1533-position model. The record is from RNAcentral. Lineage: Bacteria; Pseudomonadati; Pseudomonadota; Gammaproteobacteria; Oceanospirillales; Oleiphilaceae.